GCCGGUGGAGACAUCACCUCGGUCGGCUUGCGCUUUAUAAUCCCGAUGAGGUACUCCUACCUUGUCCGCAGCAACUUACAUUCCCGAAAGAGUACCCGAGUGGCAUUUGACGUUUAUAGCUUUACAUUUGCUGUAAUUAUGUGGAUAAAUGUUAUGUGUAGGCUACCGUGUAUUUUAUAUUUUCAUUGAGCCUGGGCUACAGCCUAGCUAAAACCUUUUUUCUUUUUUUUCAGAUUCGCUGCUUGAUUGUGAAAAGUGUUUUGUUUUGUGUUAGUCAAUCCUCCCAUAGGCUAUGCCAUUUCGAUUCUUUAACCAGACUAUUGUUGAAAAAAUUAUAGCCUAGGCUUCUCGGUGUGUGUAUAUAGCCUAUAUUUAGCCUUAAUUGUAGCUAAAUAUUCACUCAGAUGACUUGCCUUUAUGCUGUUGCUAAGGUAAGGAAUUCUAUAUUUCCCAGCUCCUGAAGGGUAGAUAUCGGAAUUAAGUCAUUACAUUUAAGAAUAUUACAUUUCCGCGACUCGCUGCCGUCUUGAACAACUUCACGGGAGAGACAGACGCUAAUAAACCGGACAUUGCCUCUUUAAAGAAAGCCCCGGGUCAUUCGAAAAGCGCACUUUCUGCGUCGAGGAAGAAAACGAUGAAUGAAUUGCCAGACAAAAAGGGACAGUAAAUGUGGUAAGUUAUGGCAGCAAGUUGAAGGUGUGGAAAUCUCCAAAACUUUAGGGACAUUCCCAGCACAUCCUGCAUGUGGCCAUCCCUCUCCUCCCGGCUCCCUCUCUUCCCAUCAACCAGUUCUGGUUGCGCCUCUUCUGUGCUGCAGGGUGGGCAGAGAAUGGCCAUCAGGGAGAGAGGGUGAGACCUGUUGGCGCUGCCAGCCUGGGCAUUGGGCCCUCUGGGAGCCAUUGGCAUGCAGGGCAGCAUGUUUCUGUGAAGUGCAACAGGGCUCCAGUGUCCACACAGGUCAGGGGAGAGUGCCAGGGCGCGCUGGCAUGGCUCGCUUUGCUCGAACCCAUUCAUACACACCCAUAGUUUCAGAAUCAUGGCGGAUUUGGCUCAUCUCGAAGUAAGUGCCCACUGAAACACAGGAGGCUUGCUCGGAUGCACAUGUAGCAGCUUGCAGGGUGGACCACCCUCUCACUUGCUAUUCCUGCUUAUGCUAUUACAGGAUGUUGACAUUCAUUUUUCAAAGAAAAAGACAAAUCCUUAGCAAUCUCUGUGUAUAAGUACAUUCUGGUAAGUAUGAAACGCAUUGUAU
Molecule: long non-coding RNA, 1252 nt
Organism: Osmerus eperlanus (European smelt)
Lineage: Eukaryota; Metazoa; Chordata; Actinopteri; Osmeriformes; Osmeridae
Exons: 3
Source: RefSeq, a predicted model, not a curated record